AUGUACUCCAACACCACCGACGACUGCUACGACGCCGGCAAGCACGGGCACGGGCACGGGCAUGGCCAUGGCCAUGGGCACGGCUACGGUGGUGGCGGCAGGACCAUGUACUCCAACACCGUCGACGAGGAGUGCUUCGACUCCGGCAGGCACGGGCAUGGGCACGGCCACGGCUACGGGCACAACGACGGUAGGGCCAUGUCCUACUCCACCACCACCGAGGAGUGCUUCGGCGGAGGCGAGCAGGGCCAGGGGUACUAUAAGAAGGAGGUGAAGCAGCACAAGAACAGGGAGCGCGUCGGCGAGGUCGGCGCACUCGCCGCCGGUGCCUUCGCCCUGUAUGAGGGGUACGAGGUGAAGAAGGACCCGGCACACGCGAGGAAGCACCAGAUCGAGGCCGGUGUGGCGGGGGCGGCAGCGCUCGGCGCCGGCGGCUACGCGUACCACGAGCACCGCGAGCAGAAGCAGGCCGCCUACGGCGGGCAGCAGGAGUACAGGAUGCCCGUCCACAACGGCUACUGCAACUAA
RNAcentral lists this ribosomal RNA (528 nucleotides) under Triticum aestivum (bread wheat). Its description in RNAcentral is "partial small subunit ribosomal RNA". The record is from RNAcentral. Lineage: Eukaryota; Viridiplantae; Streptophyta; Magnoliopsida; Poales; Poaceae.